This 360-nucleotide ribosomal RNA is filed under the name uncultured bacterium. RNAcentral describes it as "partial 16S ribosomal RNA". It matches the Rfam family "Bacterial small subunit ribosomal RNA", at positions 338 to 696 of the family's 1533-position model. The record is from RNAcentral.
CCUACGGGUGGCAGCAGUGAGGAAUAUUGGUCAAUGGGAGAGAUCCUGAACCAGCCAAGCCGCGUGAGGGAAGACGGCCCUAUGGGUUGUAAACCUCUUUUGUCGGGGCACAAAACCACGGACGUGUCCCGGACUGCGUGUAUCCGAAGAAAAAGCAUCGGCUAACUCCGUGCCAGCAGCCGCGGUAAUACGGAGGAUGCGAGCGUUAUCCGGAGUUAGUGGGUGUAAAGGGUGCGUAGGCGGUCGUUUACGUCAGCGGUAAAAUUGCGGGGCUCAACCCCGUCGAGCCGUUGAAACUGGCAGACUUGAGUGGGGGAGAGGCACGCGGAAUGCGCGGUGUAGCGGUGAAAUGCGUAGAUA